ACCCAGACCCCAGGCCCUGGAAACAGAGGAGGGGCAGGUAAGCAACCAGAGGCAGGAAAGGAAAAAUGGGAAGGUUUUCUCAGAGUUAACUUUCUCUAACCUUGAAGCCGAAUCCAGGGGCAGGAGCAGGAGUCAACUCUGAGAGGACGUGAUAGAGCUUCAGCAACAUGGAGAGGAGAUAGCCGGUCUGGCUAGGAUGGAAGAAAUGUACAUGGAGAAGAAAGACAGAAGAACCAUCACUGAGCACUAAACUAAUCAGCCAUAAUGGGCAGAUUGACUGGCAAGCCUAUCACCACCUUGAUAACAGAUGACAUUAAAGAGAAAAAGUGGGGAGAGAGAAAGCUAUGAGAAGAGUACAUCUGAAGAUACUUGGAAAAAGUGGUUUCUUUGGUGGAUUCAAUAAGUAUCAAUGUGAGGAUUAAAUGGGAUGAAAAAUAAAACAUCUGUCGGAGUGCCUGGAAUAUGAGCCUAGUAGAGCACCCAGCACACAGUAGGCUCUUAAUACAUGCUUGGGAUGCUGGCCAAGAAGACUAGGGGUAAAGUACUUUUCUUACCUGGUACACAAAUAUCCAAGAUUGGAAAGAAGAAAGAAAAUGACGACAGAAUUUUGCAGUCUACAAGGCAAACACUGCCAUUCAUGUAGUUAUGGAGUUCCUACUAUGUGCAGACAAUGGGAAACUUUACGAACAGCACCCAAAGAGGGCCAGAACAGCCUGCUUGUUGGACGCCCAUCCACACCAUGAGGCUUUCCUGGAUGUAGAGGGAAGUUACUGUUCCUCGGGAAAACCCCUCUUCCCAGCUGGGUUUUAAAAAGCAGCAGGUUUAAGAGCUGACCAUAUCUGAAAGACUCUAGAAUAGCAGAGGAUUGAUUAAAGGGACACAGAGGUUCAUGUGAUGUAAUAAGAAAGAAAUAAAGGAAGCU
This 922-nucleotide long non-coding RNA is filed under the name Homo sapiens (human). RNAcentral describes it as "HSALNT0079188". Lineage: Eukaryota; Metazoa; Chordata; Mammalia; Primates; Hominidae. The record is from RNAcentral.